RNAcentral lists this ribosomal RNA (301 nucleotides) under uncultured bacterium. Its description in RNAcentral is "partial 16S ribosomal RNA". It matches the Rfam family "Bacterial small subunit ribosomal RNA", at positions 509 to 809 of the family's 1533-position model. The record is from RNAcentral.
CAGCAGCCUCGGUAAUACGUAGGUGGCAAGCGUUGUCCGGAAUUAUUGGGCGUAAAGGGCUCGCAGGCGGUUUCUUAAGUCUGAUGUGAAAGCCCCCGGCUCAACCGGGGAGGGUCAUUGGAAACUGGGAAACUUGAGUGCAGAAGAGGAGAGUGGAAUUCCACGUGUAGCGGUGAAAUGCGUAGAGAUGUGGAGGAACACCAGUGGCGAAGGCGGCUCUCUGGUCUGUAACUGACGCUGAGGAGCGAAAGCGUGGGGAGCGAACAGGAUUAGAUACCCGUGUAGUCCCUGUCUCUUAUAA